This 1658-nucleotide long non-coding RNA is filed under the name Salmo salar (Atlantic salmon). RNAcentral describes it as "lncRNA (ENSSSAG00000099739.1)". The record is from RNAcentral. Lineage: Eukaryota; Metazoa; Chordata; Actinopteri; Salmoniformes; Salmonidae.
UGUGUGUGUGUGUGUGUGUGUGUGUGUGUGUGUGUGUGUGUGUGUGUGUGUGUGUGUGUGUGUGCAUGUGAAUUAAAGGGUUUGUCUAGCCCAGUAGUCUGCAUAUUAGUUGCAGUAGUUGGCGCACCUCUCCUAUCUCUGAUUGUUCUAGGUGUCUUUUGCCAGAGGUUACCUCAGCAUAUGUAGGCUGAUGAUCUGAAUGAUACAUGGUGUGGACUGUGUUGUGAUGGGCUGGAUCUAGUAGUGCUGUGUUGUGAUUGGCCUGGUCCAGUAGAGCUGUGUUGUGAUUGGCCAGGUCAAGUAGAGCUGUGUUGUGAUGGGCCUGGUCCAGUAGAGCUGUGUUGUGAUUGGCCAGGUCUCGUUUGGUAAAUCUGUGUUGUGAUGGGCCGGGUCUAGUAGAGCUGUGUUGUGAUUGGCCUGGUCCAGUAGAGCUGUGUUGUGAUUGGCCAGGUCAAGUAGUGCUGUGUUGUGAUUGGCCUGGUCCAGUAGAGCUGUGUUGUGAUUGGCCAGGUCAAGUAGAGCUGUGUUGUGAUGGGCCGGGUCUAGUAGAGCUGUGUUGUGAUGGGCCUGGUCCAGUAGAGCUGUGUUGUGAUUGGCCAGGUCAAGUAGUGCUGUGUUGUGAUGGGCCGGGUCUAGUAGAGCUGUGUUGUGAUUGGCCGGGUCUAGUAGAGCUGUGUUGUGAUGGGCCUGGUCCAGUAGAGCUGUGUUGUGAUUGGCCAGGUCUCGUUUGGUAAAUCUGUGUUGUGAUGGGCCGGGUCUAGUAGAGCUGUGUUGUGAUUGGCCUGGUCCAGUAGAGCUGUGUUGUGAUUGGCCAGGUCAAGUAGUGCUGUGUUGUGAUGGGCCGGGUCUAGUAGAGCUGUGUUGUGAUUGGCCGGGUCUAGUAGAGCUGUGUUGUGAUGGGCCUGGUCUAGUAGAGCUGUGUUGUGAUGGGCCGGGUCUAGUAGAGCUGUGUUGUGAUAGACCAGGACUGGUCUGGUAAAUCUGUGUUGUGAUGGGCCUGGUCAAGUAGUGCUGUGUUGUGAUGGGCCGGGUCUAGUAGAGCUGUGUUGUGAUUGGCCGGGUCUAGUAGAGCUGUGUUGUGAUGGGCCUGGUCUAGUAGAGCUGUGUUGUGAUGGGCCGGGUCUAGUAGAGCUGUGUUGUGAUGGGCCUGGUCUAGUAGAGCUGUGUUGUGAUGGGCCGGGUCUAGUAGAGCUGUGUUGUGAUAGACCAGGACUGGUCUGGUAAAUCUGUGUUGUGAUGGGCCUGGUCUAGUAGAGCUGUGUUGUGAUGGGACGGGUCUGGUCCAGUAGUGCUGUGUUGUGAUGGGCCUGGUCUAGUAGAACUGUGUUGUGAUGGGCCUGGUCUAGUAGAGCUGUGUUGUGAUGGGCCUGGUCUAGUAGAGCUGUGUUGUGAUGGGCCUGGUCCAGUAGAGCUGUGUUGUGAUGGGCCUGUUCUAGUAGAGCUGUGUUGUGAUGGGACUGGUCUAGUAGAGCUGUGUUGUGAUGGGACGGGUUUGGUCUGGUAAAUCUGUGCUGUGUUGGGCCUGGUCUAGUAGAGCUGUGUUGUGAUGGGACGGGUCUGGUCCAGUAGAGCUGUGUUGUGAUGGGUCUGGUCUGGUAAAUCUGUGCUAGGGUUGGGCCUGGUCUAGUAGAGCUGUGUUGUGAUGGGACGGGUCUAGU